CAGUAGCCGCGGGAAUACGUAGGUCCCGAGCGUUGUCCGGAUUUAUUGGGCGUAAAGCGAGCGCAGGCGGUUAGAUAAGUCUGAAGUUAAAGGCUGUGGCUUAACCAUAGUACGCUUUGGAAACUGUUUAACUUGAGUGCAAGAGGGGAGAGUGGAAUUCCAUGUGUAGCGGUGAAAUGCGUAGAUAUAUGGAGGAACACCAGUGGCGAAGGCGACUCUCUGGUCUGUAACUGACGCUGAGGAGCGAAAGCGUGGGGAGCGAACAGGAUUAGAUACCCCGGUAGUCCCUGUCUCUUAUACA
This 301-nucleotide ribosomal RNA is filed under the name uncultured bacterium. Its description in RNAcentral is "partial 16S ribosomal RNA". It matches the Rfam family "Bacterial small subunit ribosomal RNA", at positions 509 to 808 of the family's 1533-position model. The record is from RNAcentral.